Molecule: ribosomal RNA, 395 nt
Filed under: uncultured bacterium
Lineage: Bacteria
Description: partial 16S ribosomal RNA
Rfam family: Bacterial small subunit ribosomal RNA
Source: RNAcentral
AUACGUAGGUGGCAAGCGUUGUCCGGAAUUACUGGGUGUAAAGGGCGUGUAGGCGGGGAUGCAAGUCAGAUGUGAAAUUCCGGGGCUCAACCCCGGCACUGCAUCUGAAACUGUGUCUCUUGAGUGCUGGAGAGGAAAGCGGAAUUCCUAGUGUAGCGGUGAAAUGCGUAGAUAUUAGGAGGAACAUCGGUGGCGAAGGCGGCUUACUGGGCUUUUACUGACGCUGAGGCUCGAAAGCGUGGGGAGCAAACAGGAUUAGAUACCCUGGUAGUCCACGCUGUAAACGAUGAAUACUAGGUGUUGGGAGAUUAAACUCUCGGUGCCGUCGCAAACGCAUUAAGUAUUCCACCUGGGGAGUACGUUCGCAAGAAUAAAACUCAAAUGAAUUGGCGGGG